UACGAAGGGGGCUAGCGUUGUUCGGAUUUACUGGGCGUAAAGCGCACGUAGGCGGAUUGUUAAGUCAGGGGUGAAAUCCUGGAGCUCAACUCCAGAACUGCCUUUGAUACUGAGGAUCUUGAGUUCGGGAGAGGUGAGUGGAACUGCGAGUGUAGAGGUGAAAUUCGUAGAUAUUCGCAAGAACACCAGUGGCGAAGGCGGCUCACUGGCCCGAUACUGACGCUGAGGCACGAAAGCGUGGGGAGCAAACAGGG
RNAcentral lists this ribosomal RNA (254 nucleotides) under uncultured bacterium. Its description in RNAcentral is "partial 16S ribosomal RNA". It matches the Rfam family "Bacterial small subunit ribosomal RNA", at positions 524 to 777 of the family's 1533-position model. The record is from RNAcentral.